RNAcentral lists this ribosomal RNA (518 nucleotides) under uncultured bacterium. Its description in RNAcentral is "bacterial SSU rRNA". It matches the Rfam family "Bacterial small subunit ribosomal RNA", at positions 8 to 518 of the family's 1533-position model. The record is from RNAcentral.
AGAGUUUGAUUAUGGCUCAGGAUGAACGCUAGCUACAGGCUUAACACAUGCAAGUCGAGGGGCAGCAUUGGAGUAGCAAUACUCAGAUGGCGACCGGCGCACGGGUGAGUAACACGUAUCCAACCUGCCGCUUACUCGGGGAUAGCCUUUCGAAAGAAAGAUUAAUACCCGAUGGUAUAAAGAGUUCGCAUGUUCUCUUUAUUAAAGAAUUUCGGUAAGCGAUGGGGAUGCGUUCCAUUAGAUUGUUGGCGGGUAACGGCCCACCAAGUCUACGAUGGAUAGGGGUUCUGAGAGGAAGGUCCCCCACAUUGGAACUGAGACACGGUCCAAACUCCUACGGGAGGCAGCAGUGAGGAAUAUUGGUCAAUGGACGCGAGUCUGAACCAGCCAAAAGUAGCGUGAAGGAUGACUGCCCUAUGGGUUGUAAACUUCUUUUAUAAGGGAAUAAAGUGAGGGACGUGUCCCUUUUUGUAUGUACCUUAUGAAUAAGGAUCGGCUAACUCCGUGCCAGCCGCGGC